RNAcentral lists this ribosomal RNA (429 nucleotides) under Actinomycetes bacterium. Its description in RNAcentral is "Actinobacteria bacterium partial 16S ribosomal RNA". It matches the Rfam family "Bacterial small subunit ribosomal RNA", at positions 355 to 776 of the family's 1533-position model. The record is from RNAcentral. Lineage: Bacteria; Bacillati; Actinomycetota; Actinomycetes.
UAGGGAAUCUUCCACAAUGGGCGAAAGCCUGAUGGAGCAACGCCGCGUGAGUGAUGAAGGCCUUCGGGUUGUAAAACUCUGUCAUUCGGGACGAACCGGAGUCUGAGGAAAUGCAGACUCUCUGACGGUACCGGAGGAGGAAGCCCCGGCUAACUACGUGCCAGCAGCCGCGGUAAUACGUAGGGGGCAAGCGUUGUCCGGAUUCACUGGGCGUAAAGCGCGCGCAGGCGGUGAUGUAAGUCUGAGGUGAAAACCCGAAGCUCAACUUCGGGACUGCCUUGGAUACUGCGUGACUUGAGGAUAGGAGAGGCAAGGGGAAUUCCACGUGUAGCGGUGAAAUGCGUAGAGAUGUGGAGGAACACCUGUGGCGAAGGCGCCUUGCUGGCCUAUUUCUGACGCUGAGGCGCGAAAGCGUGGGGAGCAAACAGG